Molecule: ribosomal RNA, 942 nt
Filed under: Phylladiorhynchus euryalus
Lineage: Eukaryota; Metazoa; Arthropoda; Malacostraca; Decapoda; Galatheidae
Description: SSU rRNA
Rfam family: Eukaryotic small subunit ribosomal RNA
Source: RNAcentral
CUCAAUGGCAUAUAUUAAAGUGUGCGGUUAAAAAGCUCGUAGUCCAACUACUUGUUUGGGCUGGAUCUCGUGGACUGUAAGUUCCUUUAAUUAGGCUGUCCAUGGCCACGCUCAACCAAUCAACCGCUUCAACCUAUAAUAUGGUUUGGCUAUACAUAGCCGGCUCACACGGGGAUGCUCUUGACCGAGUGUCCCUGAGUGGCUGGCCUGUUUACUUUGAAAAAAUUAGAGUGCUCAAAGCAGGCAACCAAUUGGGCCUGAAUGGUUAUGCAUGGAAUAAUGAAAUAUGACUUCUGGUCCAUUUUUUUUCUCAUAGAGAGAGAUACUGAUCAUUUCAAGAUCAACAACAAUCACUAUCUUGUGUACCGGUUUUCCAAAGGAUACUGAUGAUGGUGAUGAGUAUGUGCCUCACGGCGGCCAGUGUCCAGUAGUAGUAGUAGUACUAUGUCCUACCUACUUACUUACUGCCUGGCCUGUGUUGAUGUGUGCCAUCUCAUCUUAGUCAUAUCUGUGGGAACCAGUUGUAAUGAUCAAUAGAGACUGCUGGGGGCAUUUGUACUGAGGCGCGAGAGGUGAAAUUCUGUGACCGUCUCAAGACAAACAACAGCGAAGGCAUUUGCCAAGGAUGUUUUCACUGAUCAAGAACGAAAGUUAGAGGUUCGAAGGCGAUCAGAUACCGCCCUAGUUCUAACCGUAAACGAUGCUAACCAGCAAUCCGCCGGUUGUUAUACCAAUGACCUGGCGAGCAGCUUCCGGGAAACCAAAGUCUUUGAGUUCCGGGGGAAGUAUGGUUGCAAAGCUGAAACUUAAAGGAAUUGACGGAAGGGCACCACCAGGAGUGGAGCCUGCGGCUUAAUUUGACUCAACACGGGAAACCUCACCAGGUCCGGACACUAGAAGGAUUGACAGAAUGAAAGCUCUUUCUCGAUUCGUGGGUGGGUG